This 399-nucleotide ribosomal RNA is filed under the name uncultured bacterium. RNAcentral's name for it is "bacterial SSU rRNA". It matches the Rfam family "Bacterial small subunit ribosomal RNA", at positions 358 to 774 of the family's 1533-position model. The record is from RNAcentral.
GGAAUAUUGGACAAUGGGGGAAACCCUGAUCCAGCGACGCCGCGUGAGUGAAGAAGUAUUUCGGUAUGUAAAGCUCUAUCAGCAGGGAAGAUAAUGACAGUACCUGACUAAGAAGCACCGGCUAAAUACGUGCCAGCAGCCGCGGUAAUACGUAUGGUGCAAGCGUUAUCCGGAAUUACUGGGUGUAAAGGGAGCGUAGACGGCUGUGCAAGUCUGGAGUGAAAGGCGGGGGCCCAACCCCCGGACUGCUCUGGAAACUGUAUGGCUGGAGUGCAGGAGAGGUAAGCGGAAUUCCUAGUGUAGCGGUGAAAUGCGUAGAUAUUAGGAGGAACACCAGUGGCGAAGGCGGCUUACUGGACUGUAACUGACGUUGAGGCUCGAAAGCGUGGGGAGCAAACA